This 1737-nucleotide long non-coding RNA is filed under the name Elaeis guineensis (African oil palm). RNAcentral's name for it is "long non-coding RNA (EGUI_LNC031447)". The record is from RNAcentral. Lineage: Eukaryota; Viridiplantae; Streptophyta; Magnoliopsida; Arecales; Arecaceae.
AAGAUUUUUUCUUCCGAGAGAGAGAGAGAGAGAUCAAUGGCACCAAUCUAAUCAAUCAAUCGAGAAUUUUUUCUGGUUGCUUGCGGAAGAAGAAAAUCCCAAUAACCUUGCAACCGGCUCGUAAUACAGCCAUAACAGAUGUUGGUUUUAGCACCUGGUUUCCUUUUAUUUCUGCCUUUGUUUUCCGUCUUGGAAUUGUACAGGGUCCACCAUCACACGACAAGAACUCGUGCCAGUUACAUCGAACUUUGACCAAAGCAUGUGGCGGUCCCUAAACUGGUACUUUAUCCUCACUACAUGAGAAACACACGAGUCACCCCCGCUGCAAGAUAGGAUUUAUGCAAGUAAUUGAGGAUGGGUAUUGAAUUCAGAAGCAUAAUCCAGACCAGUUGUUAACUGAUUCAAUUAUGAAUGCAAGUGACAGGGCUAACUAAAUUGCUUCAAAUCCCCACCAACCACUGGACCACUGAGAAAAAAAAAAAAAAAGGGUCUGGUGCGGUGCUUUAGGGACCCAUUGUUUGGUUAGGUCGGCUGCUUUUGCUGUGGUCGGUUGAGUCUUAGCCUUAUCACACUUUCUAAUUCAUAGCAUUGUUUUAAUCCUAACCAAGACCUUAAGAUCGCCAAUAUCCUUACCAAGUGAACUUUAUCUGAAAAUUCCUCAAAUCCUCCUAAUUUUUUUUUGGGCAAGAAAAAUCUACCGCAACUUUAUAAAUCUGGCAAGUGCCAUCUAGGUUUAAUCCAUGUUAAGUUAAUAAUGAUUCUUGUCAUCAUUAAAAUGUACAUUAAUCUAGAAUUGCCUCAAGCAGAGACCUCCAGUAAGCACAGAAUUUUUAUGACCUGAUCGAAUUACCCAUGAAUAACUGCAACAUAAGUAAUCAGAUACAAGGAUAUAUAGUGCUGCUGUAAUAGAAAAGCUUACAAGUUUAAUGAAAAUUUAGAAUUUCUAAAGAGUUGAAAAUAUUAAUCCGAGAUGUAUCAAUUCAUUCAAACCUUCUUCGCAACAUCAUACUCAUCUCAUCCUUAAAACAUCAUCAUAGAUAUAAUACAACUUCUGACAUCUUUUUGAGAUAUGUGUACAUAUGAACCCAAUUACAAUGACAUCAUAAGAUGAUGUACAUGCAAAUCUUAUUUCUAUUCACAAUAAUUGCAUGAGAAACAACAAAGCAAGCAAAGGAAAAUAUGAGAGAACAAAAGGUUAUACAAAGCUCUCACUCACUCCGGUUGUUUUAAGAUCAGGACUACUUAAGAGAAGCCUUUGAUUAGCUUUUUUACUCCUUAUGUGCGAUCCUCCCAAAGGGUCAUCCUUCUUCCACUCUUCAUGAUAUCCCAUCAAGAUAGGUAUGUGCUGCUGCCACCACAUGCACGGCCGCCCUUCCCUCCGACGGACGCCGGACCCCUGGGGGCCUUGGAGCGCUUGCGAGGGCGGCUCGCAUCAUCGACGGAGGCGAAGAUGAUCAUGGAUAUGAUCGAGAGCCACAAGAUGAUGACACAGAAGAUCACAUCGCCGCCGUUGUGGGGCUCGAAGACCAUGGGCGCCAUGGCUUUGUUGUGGAUGCUUUCUUUCGUCGCUUGCUGGAGUGCCUUCGGUUUGAUCCGCAAUAGUCCGGUAGAGCAGCAUAUAAAGGCUUUUUGAGAGAGCCGCCCUGUGGAAAUAUUUUCAACUUCGAACAUAAACCUUUUACACUGGCGUUGACCGACCCAAUGAUUUAUACAUGAGAUGUCGGUUUUGACUCGCCA